AUUCAUAUAGUUUAUGAAGAAUAUUGCACUGAAGCUGCAAAAGAAGUGUUAGAACUUGUAAAU
RNAcentral lists this transfer RNA (63 nucleotides) under Homola orientalis. RNAcentral describes it as "tRNA-Phe". The record is from RNAcentral. Lineage: Eukaryota; Metazoa; Arthropoda; Malacostraca; Decapoda; Homolidae.